Homalodisca vitripennis (glassy-winged sharpshooter) is the source of this 1434-nucleotide long non-coding RNA. RefSeq lists it as uncharacterized. The record is from RefSeq and is a predicted model, not a curated record. The transcript is spliced from 2 exons. Lineage: Eukaryota; Metazoa; Arthropoda; Insecta; Hemiptera; Cicadellidae.
AGUAAAUGAACAAAAUGGAGGACAUUAUUAAGUGGACUAUUACAGAAAUUGAAAAGAAUUAAAAUUGUCUUAUUUAUAAUUAAUUUGGAGUCACAAAAUAAAAUGACACAAAGUUUAUUUAGUUGUGAAAUAUAUUUGAUUAAAUUUUGGUAGACCAAGAGUUGUCAGUGGUCGAUCGCACUACCUAUCAACAAUCUCACUAGCGCACUCUCAAAUUCGGUCCAAAGCUCCUAAGGUCUUAUACGAGUAUUAAAUAAACUUCAUAUGGAACAUGUUACAAAUAUUACAACCUAAAAUCUGUCAGAUGGUAGUCUAAACUUCUACUAGUUAGGCUAACAACUUAUUCGCUGGAAAUAGCCGCAUAGGCUCCAUGGGUUAUAGACUGGAAAACGGAAUUAAAUAUUACAAAUCUUUUUAUCCAAGGAUAUUUGAAAAGUAUGGACUGUUUAAACAUUAAGGAGGGGAAGGAAUUUUGAGAUACCGAUAACACAGGACAAAAAGUGUCGGUCAUUUAGAACCGGGUCAAAAGGCGAGAUAUAAUAGCGAGGUUAUUAGAGAAUCAAAUCAAGAUACGUUCAAGACCUUCUUGAUUCUGGGGAUUCGGCCAAAGAAGAAAACUUGAUUGAUUCGAGGAUUAUGAGACAUACUAGGAAUAGAAACAAACAAUUGACUUAAUCCAAAUUCAAAUCGCAACGUACGACUGACGUUGACCUUGAAAUGGGAGCGCGACUGCUGUCUGCAAGCUGAUAACACCGUAAUAAUGUAGGCCUAUCCAAUCACGUGCCCUGGGAUACGGAGAUCUAGAUGCGUUCCGACCCGGUCGACUGCUCUGUGCACAUGAGCGUAUUGGGUUCUGUAUCAUAGGUUAGUGCUGUCUUAUGUUUUACCUAUGACGAAGGUAAUUCGUCAAAAUAGGUGCUUAUUGCUUUCGGUUGGUGUAACGAAAAUAGGUUUUUUUUAAUUGUGACUUGAGCAGGAAUGGUGAAAUCGGGGACAGAAAGGACUUGCAGUUGGUAUCAGGAUCUGAGUGGGGGUCAACUCUUUAGAAGCUCUUUGGGACUCUAAAAUACAUUAAGAAUUGGGUGAAGAAACAACCCAAGUUUUACCAUAUAAAAGUAACAUGAAGCAUUAAACCCUUUUAAACAUUAUGAUUGGCUUUCCUAGUACGAAAACCAGUAAACUCUUGUCUUCUGCAUCUAACUCAUUACGUUCGGUUGUAAAAUUAUGGAAUAUGUGUCAUUUUUAAAGAUAUAAUUAUAUGCAUGAAAUUAACAUUUGUAUGAAGUACAAAAAGUUAAGACUUAACUUUUCUCUGGAUAACCAAAAACAAUAUCAGUAACUAGAAUGCUUUGGGAUGCAUAAAAAAUGUGUUUAAAAUUUACUAAACAUUAUGUUAUUAUAAUAUUUUAAGAUGAAAUACACAAGUUUAUAGAG